UUUCUGCGGUUUGUCAGAGAUCAGCUGUGAUUCUCUGGUCUCAGCUCUGAAGUCCAACCCGUCACAUUUGACAGAACUGGACCUGAGUGAGAACAAGCUGCAGGAUUCAGGAGUGAAGCAUCUGUGUGGUUUUCUGGAGAGUCGUCACUGUCGACUGGAGACUCUGAGAUUAAGUAGCUGCAGUUUGUCAGAGAUCAGCUGUGAUUCUCUGGUCUCAGCUCUGAAGUCCAACCAGUCACAUUUGACAAAACUGGACCUGAGUGACAACAAGCUGCAGGAUUCAGGAGUGAAGCAUCUGUGUGGUUUUCUGGAGAGUCGUCACUGUCGACUGGAGACUCUGAGAUUAUUAAAGUGUAUUAAACCUUGAAUCUACAUGGUCUCAGAAGAUGAAGCCUCAUCCAGGUGAAU
Long non-coding RNA from Betta splendens (Siamese fighting fish), 408 nucleotides. RefSeq lists it as uncharacterized. The record is from RefSeq and is a predicted model, not a curated record. The transcript is spliced from 3 exons. Lineage: Eukaryota; Metazoa; Chordata; Actinopteri; Anabantiformes; Osphronemidae.